RNAcentral lists this ribosomal RNA (468 nucleotides) under uncultured bacterium. Its description in RNAcentral is "partial 16S ribosomal RNA". It matches the Rfam family "Bacterial small subunit ribosomal RNA", at positions 28 to 507 of the family's 1533-position model. The record is from RNAcentral.
GACGAACGCUGGCGGCGUGCUUAACACAUGCAAGUCGAACGGAAAGGCCCUGCUUUUGUGGGGUGCUCGAGUGGCGAACGGGUGAGUAACACGUGAGUAACCUGCCCUUGACUUUGGGAUGACUUCAGGAAACUGGGGCUAAUACCGGAUAGGAGCUCCUGCUGCUUGGUGGGGGUUGGAAAGUUUCGGCGGAUGGGGAUGGACUCGCGGCUUAUCAGCUUGUUGGUGGGGUAGUGGCUUACCAAGGCUUUGACGGGUAGCCGGCCUGAGAGGGUGACCGGCCACAUUGGGACUGAGAUACGGCCCAGACUCCUACGGGAGGCAGCAGUGGGGAAUAUUGCACAAUGGGCGGAAGCCUGAUGCAGCAACGCCGCGUGCGGGAUGACGGCCUUCGGGUUGUAAACCGCUUUCGCCUGUGACGAAGCGUGAGUGACGGUAAUGGGUAAAGAAGCACCGGCUAACUACGUG